UACAGAGGUCCCAAGCGUUGUUCGGAUUCACUGGGCGUAAAGGGUGCGUAGGUGGCAGGGUAAGUUUGAUGUGAAAUCUCCGAGCUUAACUCGGAAACUGCAUUGAAUACUAUCCUGCUUGAGGGUUGGAGGGGAGACUGGAAUUCUCGGUGUAGCAGUGAAAUGCGUAGAUAUCAGGAGGAACACCGGUGGCGAAGGCGGCUAUCUGGACAGAGUCUGACGCUGAGGCGCGAAAGCUAGGGGAGCAAACAGG
This 253-nucleotide ribosomal RNA is filed under the name uncultured bacterium. RNAcentral describes it as "partial 16S ribosomal RNA". It matches the Rfam family "Bacterial small subunit ribosomal RNA", at positions 524 to 776 of the family's 1533-position model. The record is from RNAcentral.